AUGCAAGUCGAGCGAACUGAUUAGAAGCUUGCUUCUAUGACGUUAGCGGCGGACGGGUGAGUAACACGUGGGCAACCUGCCUGUAAGACUGGGAUAACUUCGGGAAACCGAAGCUAAUACCGGAUAGGAUCUUCUCCUUCAUGGGAGAUGAUUGAAAGAUGGUUUCGGCUAUCACUUACAGAUGGGCCCGCGGUGCAUUAGCUAGUUGGUGAGGUAACGGCUCACCAAGGCAACGAUGCAUAGCCGACCUGAGAGGGUGAUCGGCCACACUGGGACUGAGACACGGCCCAGACUCCUACGGGAGGCAGCAGUAGGGAAUCUUCCGCAAUGGACGAAAGUCUGACGGAGCAACGCCGCGUGAGUGAUGAAGGCUUUCGGGUCGUAAAACUCUGUUGUUAGGGAAGAACAAGUACGAGAGUAACUGCUCGUACCUUGACGGUACCUAACCAGAAAGCCACGGCUAACUACGUGCCAGCAGCCGCGGUAAUACGUAGGUGGCAAGCGUUAUCCGGAAUUAUUGGGCGUAAAGCGCGCGCAGGCGGUUUCUUAAGUCUGAUGUGAAAGCCCACGGCUCAACCGUGGAGGGUCAUUGGAAACUGGGGAACUUGAGUGCAGAAGAGAAAAGCGGAAUUCCACGUGUAGCGGUGAAAUGCGUAGAGAU
Molecule: ribosomal RNA, 661 nt
Filed under: Priestia aryabhattai
Lineage: Bacteria; Bacillati; Bacillota; Bacilli; Caryophanales; Bacillaceae
Description: bacterial SSU rRNA
Rfam family: Bacterial small subunit ribosomal RNA
Source: RNAcentral